UUCCAUCUCCUCACCUCACCAUCUCUCAAAACCCUAGAGACUGCCGCCUUGAAAUCCUCCGUCGGUGGCAACUCCAUAAACGCCCCUAAAUCACUCCAAAAUUACACCAAACAUUCCUCACCUCCUCUUCUUUCUAAAUUACCAAGUCAAUCCUUUUGAUUCUUCCCCAAAUUGGUUCAAUUUCGGAUCUGAGAGCAUGCAAAGCCGUCACAAAUUGAUUUUUUUUUUCAAAGAAGAUUUGAGCCGGAAAAUGGGUGUUAUCCGUCUGUUCUCGACGAGAACAGUCGCCUAACACCUAUUGCAACUUAAAUCAGAGGCGUCUACUUCCCUUUAAGCCGUUUGAUUCACGUUCCGGUAUAGGUAUGUAAGGUUGAACCCCUGUGAUCAUGUGAAUAAUACACCUGAAAGUUUUAAGUUCGUUGGAUGUUGUCACUUAGUAGCUGUUCUUUUGCUUUGCUGGAGACUGGUUUUAUGAUGUUUAAGUCUAUUUCAUUUUGUUUUUUCCCCUCCCCGUUUUGCUUUCAGCAUAUUAGAAGUUAGCUAAAAAAUUUGUACAUAAUAGAUGUGUGUUCUAAGUAUGGACCAUGUUGUGAGGUGUGGGGAAGGUAUUUGUGCAUGUAAGUUACAUUUUAGGAGAUCUGUUUGAAGCUUCAGCUACAUGGAUGUUUUGUUAAGAUGGGAGUCUAUUCAUUUUUAUGUUGAUGAUGAGUCAGUAGUACAUUCAAUAGUUAA
Nicotiana tabacum (common tobacco) is the source of this 732-nucleotide non-coding RNA. The record is from RefSeq and is a predicted model, not a curated record. NCBI's taxonomy places the organism in Eukaryota, Viridiplantae, Streptophyta, Magnoliopsida, Solanales, Solanaceae.